RNAcentral lists this long non-coding RNA (3518 nucleotides) under Homo sapiens (human). RNAcentral describes it as "long independently transcribed non-coding RNA 276 (LINC00276)". Lineage: Eukaryota; Metazoa; Chordata; Mammalia; Primates; Hominidae. The record is from RNAcentral.
GGGGAGCCCAGACUUGCCAAUGGGUAAGUGAGUCUAGUCAAGAUGUAGGAUUUCAGAAAACUCACUCAGAAGAGCAGGAUGAAGAUAAAGGAGGCAUCAUUCAGCAGCAAUAACCAACUCAUUUCCUUCUCUAGAAAGCAAUGAAACAAGAAUCUGGUCAUGGGAUUUUACCAGUGCAAAGGAUUAAUCCACCCAAUUGAUGGCCAAGAAACCAACCAGUGAGAGCAGGAAGCAAGAACACCUCGAGACAGGAGGCAUGGCUGGGAGGCCUCAGGAAACGUAUAAUCAUGGCAGAAGGCAAAGGGGAAGCUGUAUCUUGUAAUAAGUUAAAUAUUUGCUGAAGGAAGAGAGCUGUAAUAGAAAAUGGAAGUGCCAGUGGUGAGACUUUAUUUUUUUUUCUGAGGAAUGGUUGAAAUACAUGAAGAUACAUAGAGAAGAAAACAAUUCUUAAUAAGUGCUAAGUGUCAUCAAAUACUAUGUUUAAAUGAACUCCUACUGAAGAGAGAUUAGAUUUUUUUCAUCUAUUUUGUUAAGAAAACAAUUGAAGAUCAACAAGUAGAAGUAAGGAGUAGACUCUUCAGAUACAUGGAUUUCUAAUAGUAGAGUUGCUCCAGCUGGACUCACUCAAAUAAAAUGAGUUCCAAAUUCCCAGGGAUGUGCAAACAUUGAAUAAACAAUGAACUGCCAAGAUUAGGUAGUACAAAGCUCAUAGAUGAUUCCUGUUCCCAUAUUGCAUAGGUCUCCUUUGGAUUCAGAAAGACAAUGAACUGCCAAGAUUAGGUAGUACAAAGCUCAUAGAUGAUUCCUGUUCCCAUAUUACAUAGGUCUCCUUUGGAUUCAGAAAGACACUGGGCUUCCCCCAAACCAAAGGAGAAUAGUGCCCCUCCCACUCACAUCCAGAGGCGUACAUCUACUGCAUAGGAGUUGCUUUCAUUUUCCUCUUUAUAAAUUGUUUUGUCUUAUUCUAAAUUCACUAAAGAAUGAUGAUUUUCAGAAAUGUAACAAUAUCAGGUGGAAGUAUAGUUAUGUAGUAGUAUAGCACAAGUUAAGCUAAUUAAAAGAUAUCACUGAUAUAUAUCAAAAUAGAAACACAUGCAAAAAUGACAAUACUUAUUUUUGUUGGGGAUGCAGAGAAAAUAGUACUCUAAAAACUCCUAGAGUGAAUAUGCAUUGUUAUAUCUUUAAUUUUUAAGCCAUGAUAAAGAGGGUAUUAAAAUUUAAUGUACAUACACUUUUUCAUCAAGCAAUACUUUAUAUCUAGAAAUGUAUGUUAUAGAAACCAAAGGGUUACUAGUAGAGACCUAUGAAUAAAUAAUUUUCUUGCAUUAGAUAUUAGAAAAAUACCCAAACAUGAUAAAGUAGUUAUUCAAAUUAUGGUACAUCUAUACCAUGGAUGUUCAUGAAUGCAACCAUUAGAUACAACCCCGUCAUAAAACCAUCAGAUCUCAUGAGACUUAUUCAUUAUCAAGAGAACAGCAUGAGAAAAACCCAUCCCCGUGAUUCAGUUACCUCCUACCAAGUCCCUACCAUGACACAUGGGGAUUAUGGGAGCUACAGUUCAAAAUGAGAUUGGACUAGGGACACAGCCAAACCAUAACAGACAUCAAACUAUUUAUCUUCACAAAUGAUAUAAUUUCACACCUAGAAAACCUCAUAGUCUCUGCAAAAAGGCUCCUAGGCCUAAUAACUUCAGCAAAGUUUCAAAAUAUAAAAUCAAUGUACAAAAAUCAGUAGCAUUUCUAUACACCAAUAACAUCCAAGCUGACAGCAAAAUCAAAAAUGAAAUCCCAUUCACUAUAGCCACAUACAAAAAAUACCUAGGAAUAUGGCUCACCAGGGAGAUGAAACAUCUCUAGAAUAAGAAUUAUAAAACUCUGCUGAAAGAAAUCAGAGAUGGCAUAAAGAAAUGGAAAAACAUUCCAUGCUCUUCGAUAGAAAGAAUCAGUAUUUUUUAAAUGGCCAUACUGCCCAAAGCAAUUUCACAGAUUCAAUGCUAUUUCUAUCAAACUACCAAUUACAUUUUUCACAGAAUUAGAAUAAACUAUUUCAAAUGUCAUAUAGAACCAAAAAAAAGCUUGAAUAGCUAAAGCAAUCCUAAGGAAAAAAAAAUGAAACAAAGAUGAAGGCCUCAUGAUACCUAACUUUAAAAUACAUUACAGGGCUACAGUAACCAAAACAGCAUAGUACUGGUACAAAAACAGACACAUAGACUAAUACAACAGGUUAGAGAUCCCAGAAAGAAAGCCAUAAACCUACAACCAUCUGAUCUUUGACAAAACUGACAAAAACAAGCAACAGGUAAAAGACUCCAUAUUCAACAAAUGAUGCUGGGAUAACUGGCUAAUCAUAUGCAGAAGAUUGAAAUUAGAUUCUUUCCUUUCACCAUUUAUAAAAAUCAACUCAAGAUAGAUUAAAGACCUAAAUGGAAAACCUCAAACUGUAAAAACUCUAAAAGGAAACCUAGGAAAUAUCACCUUGGACAGAGGCCCUGACAAAGAUUUUAUGACAAAGCUUUCAAAAGCCUUUGCAACAAAAACAAAAAUUGACAAAUGGGACCUAAUUAAACUAAAGAGCUUCUGCACAACAACAAAAAUUGAGUAAACAGAUAAUCUACAGAAUGGGAGAAAAUAUUUGCAAAUUUUGCAUCCCACAAAGGUCUAAUAUGAAGAAUAUAUAAAGAACUUCAACAAAUUAACAAACAAGGAGUGAACAACCCUAUCCAAAAAUGUGCAAAGAAGACGAACAGACACUUCUCAAAGGAAGACAUAUGUGGCCAAAAAACAUAUGAGAAAAAAAUGCUUAUCAUCACAAAUAUUUAGAGAAAUGCAAGUCAAAACCACAGUGAGAUACCAUCUCAUACCAGUCAGAAUGGCUAUUACUGAAAAGUCAAAAAUAACAUUCUGGUGAGGUCCUGAAGAAAAGGGAAAACUGAUACACUGCUAGUAGGAAUGUACAUUAAUUUAGCCACAGUGUAAAGAAGUUUGGAGAUCUUUCAAAGAACUUCCUCAAAGAACACACAUAUAUUCAUUGCGACACUAUUCACAGUAGCAAAGACAGCAAAGACAUGGGAUCAACCUUGAUGCUGAUCAAUGGUGGACUGGAUAAGGAAAAUGUGGUACUUAUACACCAUGCAAUACUAUGCAGCCAUAAAAAAAGAACAAAAGCAUGUCCUUUGCAGGGACAUGGAUAGAGCCAGAGGCCAUUAUCCUAAGUCAAUUAACACAGGAACAGAAAACCAAAUACUGCAUGUUCUCACUGCUAAGCAGGAGUUAAACAUUGAGAACACUUGGACAAAAAGAAAGGAACAGUAGACGUCGGGCCUACUGGAGGGUGGAGGGUAGGAGGAGAGUGAGAACUGAAAAACUACCUAUCUGAUACUAUGUUCAUUACCUGGGUGAUGAAAUAAUCUGUACACAAAACUCCCAUGACAGGCAGUUUACCCAUGUAGCAAACCUGCAUAUGUACUCCUUGAACCUAAAAUAAAAAUUGAAAAAAAAAAGCCAAAAAAAAAAAAAAAA